Molecule: ribosomal RNA, 1437 nt
Filed under: uncultured organism
Description: bacterial SSU rRNA
Rfam family: Bacterial small subunit ribosomal RNA
Source: RNAcentral
GUGUGCUUCAUACAUGCAAGUCGAACGAUAAGUGUAUUCGGGUGUACAUAAGUGGCGGACGGGUGAGUAACACGUAGAAAAUCUGCCCUAAGGAGGGGGACAACAGUUGGAGACGACUGCUAAUACCCCAUAUGAGCUUAGUUGAAAUACUAAUCUUGAAAGCUCCGGCGCCUUAGGAUGAGUCUGCGCCUGAUUAGCUUGUUGGUAGGGUAAUGGCCUACCAAUGCGACGAUCAGUAGCUGGUUUGAGAGGAUGAUCAGCCACAAUGGGACUGAGACACGGCCCAUACUCCUACGGGAGGCAGCAGUAGGGAAUUUUGCGCAAUGGAGGAAACUCUGACGCAGCAACACCGCGUGAGUGAUGACGCCCCUUGGGGUGUAAAACUCUGUCAGUAGGGACGAAUUUUGACGGUACCUACAGAGGAAGCAUCGGCUAACUACGUGCCAGCAGCCGCGGUAAGACGUAGGAUGCAAGCGUUGUCCGGAAUCAUUGGGCGUAAAGCGUUCGUAGGCGGCAUGUUAAGUUUGAUGUUAAAGCCCGGAGCUCAACUCCGGUUCGGCAUUGGAUACUGGCAAGCUAGAAUGCGGUAGAGGUAAGGGGAAUUCCUGGUGUAGCGGUGAAAUGCGUAGAUAUCAGGAGGAACACCGGUGGCGAAAGCGCCUUACUGGACCGUUAUUGACGCUGAGGAACGAAAGCCAGGGGAGCGAAUGGGAUUAGAUACCCCAGUAGUCCUGGCCGUAAACGAUGGAUACUAGGUGUUGUGGGUAUCGACCCCUGCAGUGCCGUAGUUAACGCGAUAAGUAUCCCGCCUGGGGAGUACGCACGCAAGUGUGAAACUCAAAGGAAUUGACGGGGACCCGCACAAGCGGUGGAACAUGUGGUUUAAUUCGAAGCAACGCGAAGAACCUUACCAGGGCUUGACAUUGAUAGAAUCUUUGNGGAAACCAAAGGGAGUGCUCUUCGGAGAACUUGAAAACAGGUGGUGCAUGGUUGUCGUCAGCUCGUGUCGUGAGAUGUUGGGUUAAGUCCCGCAACGAGCGCAACCCUCGUCGUUAGUUGCAGAUAGUGAUAUAUUGCUAUUAUGCUCUCUAGCGAGACUGCCGGUGACAAACCGGAGGAAGGUGAGGACGACGUCAAAUCAUCAUGCCCCUUAUGCUCUGGGCUACACACGUGUUACAAUGGCUAGGACAACGAGCAGCCAACUCGCGAGAGUCAGCGAAUCUCUUAAACCUAGUCCAAGUUCGGAUCGUAGUCUGCAACUCGACUACGUGAAGUCGGAAUCGCUAGUAAACGCAGAUCAGAAUGCUGCGUUGAAUACGUUCCCGGGUCUUGUACACACCGCCCGUCACACCAUGGAAGUCGAUCACGCCCGAAGUAGGUGUCCUAACUCUUUGAGAGGGAGCCUCCUAAGGCAGGGUUGUGACUGGGGUGAAGUCG